RNAcentral lists this unclassified non-coding RNA (328 nucleotides) under soil metagenome. RNAcentral describes it as "partial contains 5.8S ribosomal RNA, internal transcribed spacer 2, and large subunit ribosomal RNA". The stretch from base 1 to 120 matches the Rfam family "5.8S ribosomal RNA", at positions 35 to 154 of the family's 154-position model. The record is from RNAcentral.
GAUGAAGAACGCAGCGAAAUGCGAUAAGUAAUGUGAAUUGCAGAAUUCAGUGAAUCAUCGAAUCUUUGAACGCACAUUGCGCCCCUUGGUAUUCCGAGGGGCAUGCCUGUUCGAGCGUCAUUAUAACCCCUCAAGCUCAGCUUGGUGUUGGGGCCUGCCGCACGGGCAGCCCUUAAAAUCAGUGGCGGUGCCAUCUGGCUCUAAGCGUAGUAAUUCUUCUCGCUAUAGAGUCCCGGUGGAUGCUUGCCAUUAACCCCCAAUUUUCUAUGGUUGACCUCGGAUCAGGUAGAGAUACCCGCUGAACUUAAGCAUAUCAAUAAGCGGAGGA